UACGGAGGGUGCAAGCGUUGUUCGGCCUCAUUGGGCGUAAAGCGCGUGUCGGCGGCUUGGCAAGUCGGGUGUGAAAUCCCGGGGCCCAACCCCGGAACUGCAUUCGAAACUGCCUCGCUAGAGUCCCGGAGAGGAAGGCGGAAUUCCCGGUGUAGAGGUGAAAUUCGUAGAUAUCGGGAGGAACACCAGCGGCGAAGGCGGCCUUCUGGACGGUGACUGACGCUCAGACGCGAAAGCGUGGGGAGCAAACAGG
Molecule: ribosomal RNA, 253 nt
Filed under: uncultured bacterium
Lineage: Bacteria
Description: partial 16S ribosomal RNA
Rfam family: Bacterial small subunit ribosomal RNA
Source: RNAcentral